Molecule: long non-coding RNA, 1427 nt
Organism: Zea mays
Lineage: Eukaryota; Viridiplantae; Streptophyta; Magnoliopsida; Poales; Poaceae
Exons: 4
Source: RefSeq, a predicted model, not a curated record
UUAUCUGGUGCACAUGCAUAGCCGUCUGAGGUCUUUGAGACAAGGACAGGUGCAUGUGGGCCCAAUAACUUAGGAGGUUCUACAACAAUUGCCGAUUAGUUGGUGCCUCCAGUAGAAGAAUACCAAUAGAUUGAAUGUUUUGUGUUGUGGGUUGGAGAAUGUUGUGAGUUCGUAUGAUAGGGUAAGGUGACUUACUGGAAUUGGUUAUGCCAUAGAAAAGGGAAGUGUGCGUUGCAAAAUGGUCUCUGUGACCUUUAGCAAUAAAACACGUAAUAUAAGUGUAUGUAGAAAUUGUAGACCUAUUAGUUUAGUUAGUUACCUUAAUCUCAUUGAUGUUGUUUUCUUUCUCUUCAUUUUGUUGAUUUCCUUCCAAAUUUCAUCCCAUCAGUUGCUUCUUAAUCUGCUGAUUUCAGGAACAAGCUUUGUGACUUAUUUUAGAUUUGAGCAGCACGGUCAUAACAUUGCUGCCACACCAGAACUCUUUAAUUCUUCAUGCUCUUAUGGAUCUAUUUUAUUCAUAUGUUCGAGUGAAUAUUUUCUCUAGCAAGAUGCCAAGAAAGAUGAUCCCCUAGGUUUACAACAUCUUGCACUAUGUCCUACGCGUUACUGGCCAAACGACAACGCCGUGGAGUGCAGCAAUGACAGGAACUACCUCUGUAGGAACCGGUUCAACAAGUACUUCGACAUCACGUGGGUGGAGCAGACUUGGUGGGCGGACAACUAUGACUGUGUUGUCGUCUAGCACGAGCACCCCUCGCGCGACGUCGACUAUGACGAUGAAGAUUCGGCUGCGCCCGUAACCCCAUGCCAAUCCAAGGACGACGAGCACCAACGGCACCAGGCGAGCGGGGACUAGGGGACGACUGUAGGCCUCCCCCUCUUUCUCGCCUCCACUCACCCGCCACCACCCCAACGACGAGGGAGUGAGAGAUCGGCAGCAUCUCAGGGCCUGGCAGGGCAGCUGCAUUGCGCUGUGGUGGCCAUGGCUGAUCCAUACGAUGAGGAUAUGGGAUCAUCGCUAAAGAGCCAACAGUCACACCCUGGCCUCCGCCACAAGCCCGCCAUUGAGAUAUUUAGUUAUCAUGUCUCCAUGCUUAUUUUGAUUAUACACUACCUUGGUUAAUUUUCAAUCAUCUCCAUGGGUACAUUUUUUCUUAGUUGCUUAAACUAGCACUAUUUCGCACAAAUUGUACUAGUACAAGAUUUGAUGUAAAAUUCUAGGCAAAAAUGUAUACUGCAAGGGUGGCAUUAGUGGUGAACUGGUGAUAACAUGCAGGCAAAGGUCACCAAGGAGAUGCAAGGUUCAAAAUCCUCCCUCCCUCAUGUGUGCAGUUUUCCAUGUGUCAAGUAGAGUCAGUACACAAAACAUUUGUGUCGGCUUGCAGCUGCUUAGCAGUAGUUGGGAAUUAGCCGAUCGAGUUUGAUCU